Molecule: ribosomal RNA, 460 nt
Filed under: uncultured bacterium
Lineage: Bacteria
Description: partial 16S ribosomal RNA
Rfam family: Bacterial small subunit ribosomal RNA
Source: RNAcentral
CCUACGGGCGGCAGCAGUGAGGAAUAUUGGUCAAUGGACGCAAGUCUGAACCAGCCAUGCCGCGUGCAGGAAGACGGCUCUAUGAGUUGUAAACUGCUUUUGUACGAGGGUAAACGCAGAUACGCGUAUCUGUCUGAAAGUAUCGUACGAAUAAGGAUCGGCUAACUCCGUGCCAGCAGCCGCGGUAAUACGGAGGAUUCAAGCGUUAUCCGGAUUUAUUGGGUUUAAAGGGUGCGUAGGCGGUCGGAUAAGUUAGAGGUGAAAUCCCGAGGCUCAACUUCGGAAUUGCCUCUGAUACUGUUCGUCUAGAGAGUAGUUGCGGUAGGCGGAAUGUAUGGUGUAGCGGUGAAAUGCUUAGAGAUCAUACAGAACACCGAUUGCGAAGGCAGCUUACCAAGCUACUUCUGACGUUGAGGCACGAAAGCGUGGGGAGCAAACAGGAUUAGAUACCCUUGUAGUC